AGCAGCCGCGGUAAUUCCAGCUCCAAUAGCGUAUAUUAAAGUUGUUGCAGUUAAAAAGCUCGUAGUUGAAUUUCGGGAUCAGUUGAUCGGUCGUGCCUCGGUACGUACUGGUCAAAUUGAUUCCUACCUUCUGACGAACCACGAUGUCAUUAAUUUGGUGUCGUGGGAAAUCAGGACUGUUACUUUGAAAAAAUUAGAGUGUUUAAAGCAGGCUCGCGCUUGAAUACAUUAGCAUGGAAUAAUGAAAUAGGACGUUUGAUUCUAUUUUGUUGGUUUCUAGGAUCGACGUAAUGAUUAAUAGGGAUAGUUGGGGGCAUUAGUAUUCAAUUGUCAGAGGUGAAAUUCUUGGAUUUAUUGAAGACUAACUACUGCGAAAGCAUUUGCCAAGGAUGUUUUCAUUAAUCAAGAACGAAAGUUAGGGGAUCGAAGACGAUCAGAUACCGUCGUAGUCUUAACCAUAAACUAUGCCGACUAGGGAUC
Molecule: ribosomal RNA, 480 nt
Filed under: uncultured Glomus
Lineage: Eukaryota; Fungi; Glomeromycota; Glomeromycetes; Glomerales; Glomeraceae
Description: SSU rRNA
Rfam family: Eukaryotic small subunit ribosomal RNA
Source: RNAcentral